Molecule: non-coding RNA, 125 nt
Organism: Triticum aestivum (bread wheat)
Lineage: Eukaryota; Viridiplantae; Streptophyta; Magnoliopsida; Poales; Poaceae
Source: Rfam
GUGAUACCCCCUCUGUCCGGAAAUACUUGUCGGAGAAAUGGAUGUAUUUAGACGUAUUUUAGUUCUAGAUACAUCCAUUUUUAUCCAUUUCUGCAACAAGUAAUUCCGGACGGAGGGAGUAUUAA